GACGAACGCUGGCGGCGUGCUUAACACAUGCAAGUCGAACGGAAAGGCCUCUUUCGGGGGGUACUCGAGUGGCGAACGGGUGAGUAACACGUGAGUAACCUGCCCUUGACUUUGGGAUAACUUCAGGAAACUGGGGCUAAUACCGGAUAGGAGCUCCUGCUGCAUGGUGGGGGUUGGAAAGUUUCGGCGGUUGGGGAUGGACUCGCGGCUUAUCAGCUUGUUGGUGGGGUAGUGGCUUACCAAGGCUUUGACGGGUAGCCGGCCUGAGAGGGUGACCGGCCACAUUGGGACUGAGAUACGGCCCAGGCACCUACGGGAGGCAGCAGGGGGGAAGAUUGCACAAGGGGUGGAAGCCUGAUGCAGCAACGCCGUGGGCGGGAGGACGGCCUUCGGGUUGUAAACCGCGUUCGCUCAUGACGAAGCGUUGUGUGACGGUAGUGGGUAAAGAAGCACCGGCUAACUACGUG
This 467-nucleotide ribosomal RNA is filed under the name uncultured bacterium. RNAcentral describes it as "partial 16S ribosomal RNA". It matches the Rfam family "Bacterial small subunit ribosomal RNA", at positions 28 to 507 of the family's 1533-position model. The record is from RNAcentral.